This 189-nucleotide ribosomal RNA is filed under the name Glomus sp. RNAcentral's name for it is "partial large subunit ribosomal RNA". Lineage: Eukaryota; Fungi; Glomeromycota; Glomeromycetes; Glomerales; Glomeraceae. The record is from RNAcentral.
GAAGUGUUAUAGCCUCUGGUAGAUGUGAUGACCGAGAUUGAGGAUUGCAACGAAUACCCUUUGGGCUACCUGUCUGGCCUCUGGUCGUCGCUUUGGUGCCGAAAGCGUGCUUAUGGUAUUAAAGUAGGUGGUCAAAAGGUUAGAACGGGUUAAAUUCGUUAAGGAUGUUGACAUAAUGACUUUAAACGA